This 102-nucleotide small nuclear RNA is filed under the name Angiostrongylus costaricensis. The record is from RNAcentral. Lineage: Eukaryota; Metazoa; Nematoda; Chromadorea; Rhabditida; Metastrongylidae.
GUUCAUUUCUGAACGUCUACUAAAAUUGGAACAAUAUAGAGAAGAUUAACAUGACCUUUGCGAAAGGAUGAUACGCAAAUUCGUAAAGAGUUCCAAAAUAAA